This is a long non-coding RNA of Phacochoerus africanus (Common warthog), 378 nucleotides long. RefSeq lists it as uncharacterized. The transcript has 4 exons. NCBI's taxonomy places the organism in Eukaryota, Metazoa, Chordata, Mammalia, Artiodactyla, Suidae. The record is from RefSeq and is a predicted model, not a curated record.
CUAUAGCUCCGAUUGGACCCCUAGCCUGGGAACCUCCAUAUGCUGCAGGUGCAGCCCUAAAAAGACAACAACAACAACAAAUCAACAUACCAUGUGACUGAGCAACCCCAUUCCCAAGUUUUCACCCAGGGGAAUGAAAUCAUACAUGCACACGAAUAGUCACAGCAACCUUAUUCACGAAACCCGACCAGAAGAGAGACAUGCUGAGAGGAAGCAAAGAUCAAGAAUCCUGGCAUCCAAUCAGAUACAGGAAUUAACGCAACAGCCGUCCAAUCAGAUGAGCGGAUCCAACCAAAUAGAGCAGCGUGAGGCGCGAUAAAAGGCGGGAAAGAGCCUGAGGCGAAGCGUGAGCACUCUUCACAGUAGCCAAGACAUGGG